UGAUGAUGAUGAUGAUGAUGAUGAUGAUGAUGGCGAUGAUUAUGAUGGUGGUGGCGACUCUCCCAUAUUCACAUUCUUCCUCUCACCAACAUCAUCACCACCCCUC
Molecule: microRNA precursor, 106 nt
Filed under: Bigelowiella natans CCMP2755
Lineage: Eukaryota; Cercozoa; Chlorarachniophyceae
Description: miRNA EPrBNAG00000013115
Source: RNAcentral